This 468-nucleotide ribosomal RNA is filed under the name uncultured bacterium. Its description in RNAcentral is "partial 16S ribosomal RNA". It matches the Rfam family "Bacterial small subunit ribosomal RNA", at positions 28 to 507 of the family's 1533-position model. The record is from RNAcentral.
GACGAACGCUGGCGGCGUGCUUAACACAUGCAAGUCGAACGGAAAGGCCCUGCUUUUGUGGGGUGCUCGAGUGGCGAACGGGUGAGUAACACGUGAGUAACCUGCCCUUGACUUUGGGAUAACUUCAGGAAACAGGGGCUAAUACCGGAUAGGAGCUCCUGCUGCAUGGGGGGGGUUGGAAAGUUUCGGCUGUGGGGGAUGGAAUCGCGGGUUAUCAGCUUGUUGGUGAGGUAGUGGCUUACCAAGGCUUUGACGGGUAGCCGGCCUGAGAGCGUGACCGGCCACAUUGGGACUACGAGACGCCGCAGACUCCUACGGGAGGCAGCAGUGGAAAAUCUUGCACAAUGGGCGGACGCGUGAUGCAGCGACCCUGCGAGCGUAAUGACGGCCUUCGGGUUGUAAACCGCUGUCGACUGUGCCGAGGCGUGAGUGACGGUAAUGGGUCAAGAAGCACCGGCUAACUACGUG